This 75-nucleotide small nucleolar RNA is filed under the name Paramormyrops kingsleyae. Lineage: Eukaryota; Metazoa; Chordata; Actinopteri; Osteoglossiformes; Mormyridae. The record is from RNAcentral.
CUGCGAUGAUGCCUUGAAUUUCUUCACCUGAAUGCACUGUGUGGAGUAAAAACGAGCUUUUUAACACUGAGCUUC